This 300-nucleotide ribosomal RNA is filed under the name uncultured Aquifex sp. RNAcentral's name for it is "partial 16S ribosomal RNA". The stretch from base 52 to 300 matches the Rfam family "Bacterial small subunit ribosomal RNA", at positions 547 to 795 of the family's 1533-position model. The record is from RNAcentral. Lineage: Bacteria; Pseudomonadati; Aquificota; Aquificia; Aquificales; Aquificaceae.
GGAAAAGAGGGGGGGGGAGGGGGGGUAAGGCGGAGGGGGUCAGCGGUGGCCGGAAUCAUGGGGCGUAAAGGGCGGGUAGGGGGGCCGGGAAGUCGGUUGUGCAAGUCAAAGGCUCAAGCUUGGAAAGCCGAUGGAUACUGCAGGGGUAGAGUCCGGAAGAGGCGAGUGGAAUUCCUGGUGUAGCGGUGGAAUGCGCAGAUAUCAGGAGGAACACCAAUAGCGAAGGCAGCUCGCUGGGACGGUACUGACGCUAAGGCGCGAAAGCGUGGGGAGCGAACAGGAUUAGAUACCCGGGUAGUC